GUGAAAAUACUAGCAUGGAAUUGCCGGGGGCUUGGGAACGCCCCGGCAAUUCGGGCUUUGCUGGAUGUCCCGCGAAGAUGUUGCCCCGAUGUGAUGUUUUUGUCGGAGACUCACCUCGAAACUUUUCCGGCUGAGGGUUUGCGUAGAAGAGCUAAGAUGGACCAAAAAAUUGUAUGUCCUGGAGAUAGUAUAAAAGGAGGUCUUAUUUUAUUC
RNAcentral lists this ribosomal RNA (213 nucleotides) under Triticum aestivum (bread wheat). RNAcentral describes it as "partial small subunit ribosomal RNA". Lineage: Eukaryota; Viridiplantae; Streptophyta; Magnoliopsida; Poales; Poaceae. The record is from RNAcentral.